AAGACUAAGGUGACAUGAUGGAGUCUUGGAUUAGGAGUGGCAUGGGGCUGGAGAGAAGCUAAUGCUAAUAGUGAGCUAAUAGUGAGCACUAUUUAGAAGACACAAUGACCAAGACUUGGAGGCUAAUUAGAUAUGGAAGUGAAGGAGAGUGAGAGAUUGAGAAUGACACCCAGGUUCUGACAACUGGGUUUAGGAACAAAGACAGUCACCGGUGACCUUGACAGGUGCUAUUUCAGUGGAGUGCGAUGUCAGAAGGCAGAAGUAAUGAAUGGGCAGUGAAGUGGAAAGACUGAAUAUAGACAUCUCUCACAAGACUUGUCAGUGAAGGUAUGGGGGAAUAGGGCAAGCCAGAGAGGAGCCAGCAUGGAGGAAGGGUCAUUUAUUUGGGUUAAGGUAGGAGAGACUGGAUUAUGUUUAAAUGCUAAAAGCAAUGAUAUUUUAGAGAAAGAGGUGAAGAUGCACAGAGAUGCCACUGGGUGGUGGGAGGGGGUGGCCUUAGGAGGAAGGGUGAGAGGGGAAGUCGGUGCAUUUGUGGGUUUGAGAGCCGAAGUGGAGGGUGUCCCCUGCGAUGGCAUCUGUCCUCUCUCAGGUUGGGAGGAAGUGGUAGGGUCGGAGGUCUGAGAAGACAGGAGAUUUGGAAUAGCUGCUUUAGGGAGCAGGGGGCAGUGUAGGAGACUUAGAAGACACUCUGGGCGAACUGAGUGCUCGGGCGAGAGGGAGGCCAGAAUCCACGGCGGGAGCAGGCACGAAAAGGGAGCCGCUUGUCACAGGUCUGCCUUCCUCCCUGCCGCCGAUUUCUUUCUGAACGCAGAGGUCACGUGCGGGCACUCAAAAGCUCUCAGUGACCUCUUCGUCCAAGGAGAAAGUCCAGCUCCCCAGCCUAACAAUUGAGGGCUUCCACUUGGGGCCCUGGCAGAACUUGCCAGCUUUGUUUCCUGUCCCGGCACAGUCGCACUGAGGAACCACACAGAUCCCCUGAUUGUCCCCUACACACACUGUGCACUCUCCUGCCUAAAGCAAGACGGAGACAGCUGAUUCUCAAGUGGUUUAAGGGUUAUGCUGUCAGUUUUCAAACUCCUCUGACGCCAGCAAGGCAAGGGCCUAGACCACAUGACUCCGGGCUUCCAGAACCACAUUCAUAAGACUCUGCUUUAAUCCUGGCUUCAUUGUAACCCAGGUACUGGCAAGGAGAGUAGAUGCAAAUCAUAAUUGGCAUGGUUACCCAUUUAGACAUGUAGAAACUGCACACACCUGGGUGUUCUCACACAGCUCUUGCCCUUGGAGCCUAUAUCAGAGGUUGU
RNAcentral lists this long non-coding RNA (1301 nucleotides) under Equus asinus (donkey). RNAcentral's name for it is "lncRNA (ENSEASG00005034429.1)". The record is from RNAcentral. Lineage: Eukaryota; Metazoa; Chordata; Mammalia; Perissodactyla; Equidae.